GACGAACGCUGGCGGCGUGCUUAACACAUGCAAGUCGAACGGAAAGGCCCUGCUUUUGUUCGUUUCUCGAGUGGCGAACGGGUGAGUAACACGUGAGUAACCUCCCCUUGACUUUCUGAUAACUUCACGAAACUGGGGCUAAUACCCGAUAUGAGCUCUUGCUGCAUGUUGUUCGUUGGAAAAUUUCGGCUGUUCGGGAUGGUAUCGCUGGUUAUCCGCUUGUUGGUGGGGUAGUGGCUUACCAAGGCUUCGACGGGUAGCCGGCAUGAGCGGGUGACCGGCGACCUUGGGACUGAGAUACGGACCAGACUGGUACGGGCGGCAGUGGUGGGGAAUAUUGCACAAUGGGGGGAAGCCUGAUGCAGCAACGCCGCGUGCGGGAUGACGGCCUUCGGGUUGUAAACCGAUUUCGCCUGUGACGAAGCGUGAGUGACGGUAAUGGGUAAAGAAGCACCGGCUAACUACGUG
Molecule: ribosomal RNA, 468 nt
Filed under: uncultured bacterium
Lineage: Bacteria
Description: partial 16S ribosomal RNA
Rfam family: Bacterial small subunit ribosomal RNA
Source: RNAcentral